Long non-coding RNA from Folsomia candida, 2050 nucleotides. RefSeq lists it as uncharacterized. Lineage: Eukaryota; Metazoa; Arthropoda; Collembola; Entomobryomorpha; Isotomidae. The transcript has 2 exons. The record is from RefSeq and is a predicted model, not a curated record.
AAAUGUUCAAGAAAAAGUUGUCCACAUCAUAAACUCACCACUGCAACAAAGAGUCCAUAAAGUUUUUCGAAAGAAUUUUUUGGAAUGUCGUGUCGUAUAUUAAUGGGUAACGUCUCUCCUUAAACGUACAGCGCCAGGCUAGCCCCAGAAUUCCUUUGUACGUCAAAUACACAGAGAGAAUCAGUGGCCACGGAAGUGUGGGGACAGAGGUUAUUUUAUGGCUACGAAUUUCCAACUCGAUCAGGUUCACAUUAUUACAAACAAAAUAUUGUAUAACUUGGAAAUUUCGAAAUAAUCAGUCCAAAAUUCUGGGUAAGUCGAAAUUUGCUGGUGAUUCCAGAGUGUCACCAGUGGCCGCGGAAGCGUGAGGAGAGAGGGAUAAUGUCCCCACAGUUGUUCGAUGUCCGCAUCAUCCGCCCAUGUUAUAUAAAAUCCGUCCCUCCCCUAUCCUACAAUGUUAAUGUCCCCACAUGUCCCCCACGGCUUCCGCGGCCACUGACACAGAGAAUGAGACCUACAUAAAAUAUAAACCCACAUCGAUCUAUUGUGUUAUAAAUUGCUAAAAAGACUCCGAACUGACAAUGAUUUUUAGUUUGAGACAAUCUUUUCCUCCUCGUAAUUAAUACUCCUCUCGAGAAUUGUGGGUUUGAACGUUUGGGAAUUAUUGGAAAAGAAGGUUCUGCCCUCGCCGCAGCUCGGUGGGAUGUCUUUCCUAAAAAAUGAGACGUCUUCAUCAAAACAAUGACUUGAUGUGUCCAUUUGUUAUAUAAGUACUUCUCAUUUGGCUGGGCUGACGACUCCAUCAGACAGAGAAUGUUGGAAUUGAUACGAUUGUACUUUUCUCUGCGACUCUUUUUUUAAAACAAACAUUGGACACACUUCAUACUCAGCCAAAACAGUGUCUCGGGUGCAACGGGAAAGUAUCAAAUUGCAAGAAAAGACUGGGAUAAAGUGGUUUUUGGCAAGUACUUAUUUUGACCUGCAAGAAAUGCAAGGCGUUAGAAACUACUUCCCACCGCUAUAAAUACAGAUACUUCAUAUCUUCGGUUGGCUAGAUAGCACAUAUUUCUUGCACUUUCUCCCAGUUUCUUGCACCUCGUAUUUCUUGUUUGGUACAAGAAGCAUGGUACAAAUCUUAAUUAAAAUAAGUAUGCUCUUCAUGAACAAAAUAAGAAAUGUGGAUGGAAAGAUUAUGGAUACCACGCAUUUGCAUAUUUUUUUAGAAUUAUAUCAUUGUUUCCUUUUGUGGAUUGUAAGAUUUUUAGAGUUUUGAGUGAUUUCGACGUCAUUUUAGAAAAUAGAGUGAUUUUUAUAAUACUAAAUUACUAUGCAGAUUUUUUAUGUCCGUAUUCCAAGAUUUUUUGGAAUUUUGAAAUAAGGGAAAGAAAGUGGUUUUUUACAGGUAAAUAUUUCGACCUGCAAGAAAUGCAAGGCGUAAAAAACUAUGCCCUGCCGCUAUAAAUACUUCAUACGGCGCGCAAAUUUCUUGCACUUUCUCCCACUUUCUUGCACCUCGAAUUUCUCUCAUUUCUUCCUUCCCACUGCAAGAAAUGCAGCAAAACCCGCAAGCAACGAGACGAAACCCCUCGCCAAAAGUUGAAAUUGAAUUGUUUUAGACUGCCCAAAAUUUUUGGGAGAAGACCAAACUAAACGGUGAAGUGAAAGAAAGAAACCUGGAAGAAAAAGAAGACAAAACAAAACCAAGAUCAAAUAAACGUCUCGUGAAACUCAACCUGGUCUGUUCUCUUACAUAACGAAGGCUGCCUUACUUUACUCUAAAGUUUAGAGUCUAAACGAAGAAUAUGAGACAUUUUACGGUAAGGUUUUGUUGUCUCGUCUGUGUAGAAUUUUGGAAAGUCAAGUAGCCGAGAGAGCGAGGCGAGGGAGCUAAAAGCUAAUGAGACCUAAUGAAUCAUUGUCACAACGGAUGAAAAUAAAUCUAUUAUGCUUCGAUGCUUAUGUAUUUUCACGAAAUAAAUAUUCCUGCUUACAGAUUUAUGUAACCAGAUUUAUGUAAAAAAAAACAUAAAUAAAUUAUGCAAUGUUAAAA